AUUGAACGCUGGCGGCAUGCCUUACACAUGCAAGUCGAACGGUAACAGGUCUUCGGAUGCUGACGAGUGGCGAACGGGUGAGUAAUACAUCGGAACGUGCCUAGUAGUGGGGGAUAACUACUCGAAAGAGUGGCUAAUACCGCAUGAGAUCUACGGAUGAAAGCAGGGGAUCGCAAGACCUUGUGCUACUAGAGCGGCCGAUGGCAGAUUAGGUAGUUGGUGGGAUAAAAGCUUACCAAGCCGACGAUCUGUAGCUGGUCUGAGAGGACGAUCAGCCACACUGGGACUGAGACACGGCCCAGACUCCUACGGGAGGCAGCAGUGGGGAAUUUUGGACAAUGGGCGCAAGCCUGAUCCAGCAAUGCCGCGUGCAGGAUGAAGGCCUUCGGGUUGUAAACUGCUUUUGUACGGAACGAAAAGCCCUGGGUUAAUACCCUGGGGUCAUGACGGUACCGUAAGAAUAAGCACCGGCUAACUACGUGC
This 483-nucleotide ribosomal RNA is filed under the name uncultured bacterium. RNAcentral describes it as "bacterial SSU rRNA". It matches the Rfam family "Bacterial small subunit ribosomal RNA", at positions 30 to 508 of the family's 1533-position model. The record is from RNAcentral.